RNAcentral lists this ribosomal RNA (1383 nucleotides) under uncultured bacterium. RNAcentral describes it as "bacterial SSU rRNA". It matches the Rfam family "Bacterial small subunit ribosomal RNA", at positions 18 to 1395 of the family's 1533-position model. The record is from RNAcentral.
CCUGGCUCACCUUUGGGGCUAGCUACAGGCUUAACACAUGCAAGUCGAGGGUUUUCAGGAAGAAAGCUUGCUUUCUUUGCUGGCGACCGGCGCACGGGUGAGUAACACGUAUCCAACCUGCCCUUUACUCGGGGAUAGCCUUUCGAAAGAAAGAUUAAUACCCGAUAGUAUAAUGAUUCCGCAUGGUUUCAUUAUUAAAGGAUUCCGGUAAAGGAUGGGGAUGCGUUCCAUUAGGUUGUUGGUGAGGUAACGGCUCACCAAGCCUUCGAUGGAUAGGGGUUCUGAGAGGAAGGUCCCCCACAUUGGAACUGAGACACGGUCCAAACUCCUACGGGAGGCAGCAGUGAGGAAUAUUGGUCAAUGGGCGCGAGCCUGAACCAGCCAAGUAGCGUGAAGGAUGACUGCCCUAUGGGUUGUAAACUUCUUUUAUAUUAGAAUAAAGUGCAGUAUGUAUACUGUUUUGUAUGUAUAAUAUGAAUAAGGAUCGGCUAACUCCGUGCCAGCAGCCGCGGUAAUACGGAGGAUCCGAGCGUUAUCCGGAUUUAUUGGGUUUAAAGGGAGCGUAGGUGGACUGGUAAGUCAGUUGUGAAAGUUUGCGGCUCAACCGUAAAAUUGCAGUUGAUACUGUCAGUCUUGAGUACAGUAGAGGUGGGCGGAAUUCGUGGUGUAGCGGUGAAAUGCUUAGAUAUCACGAAGAACUCCGAUUGCCAAGGCAGCUCACUGGACUGCAACUGACACUGAUGCUCGAAAGUGUGGGUAUCAAACAGGAUUAGAUACCCUGGUAGUCCACACAGUAAACGAUGAAUACUCGCUGUUUGCGAUAUACAGUAAGCGGCCAAGCGAAAGCAUUAAGUAUUCCACCUGGGGAGUACGCCGGCAACGGUGAAACUCAAAGGAAUUGACGGGGGCCCGCACAAGCGGAGGAACAUGUGGUUUAAUUCGAUGAUACGCGAGGAACCUUACCCGGGCUUAAAUUGCAGUGGAAUGAUGUGGAAACAUGUCAGUGAGCAAUCACCGCUGUGAAGGUGCUGCAUGGUUGUCGUCAGCUCGUGCCGUGAGGUGUCGGCUUAAGUGCCAUAACGAGCGCAACCCUUAUCUUUAGUUACUAACAGGUCAUGCUGAGGACUCUAGAGAGACUGCCGUCGUAAGAUGUGAGGAAGGUGGGGAUGACGUCAAAUCAGCACGGCCCUUACGUCCGGGGCUACACACGUGUUACAAUGGGGGGUACAGAAGGCAGCUACCUGGUGACAGGAUGCUAAUCCCAAAAGCCUCUCUCAGUUCGGAUCGAAGUCUGCAACCCGACUUCGUGAAGCUGGAUUCGCUAGUAAUCGCGCAUCAGCCACGGCGCGGUGAAUACGUUCCCGGGCCUUGUACACACCGCCC